RNAcentral lists this unclassified non-coding RNA (273 nucleotides) under uncultured Cryptococcus. Its description in RNAcentral is "sequence contains ITS2". The stretch from base 1 to 52 matches the Rfam family "5.8S ribosomal RNA", at positions 103 to 154 of the family's 154-position model. The record is from RNAcentral. Lineage: Eukaryota; Fungi; Basidiomycota; Tremellomycetes.
AACGCACCUUGCGCCUUUUGGUAUUCCGAAAGGCAUGCCUGUUUGAGUGUCAUGAAAUCUCAAUCCCCCUGGGUUUAUGAUCUGGGUUGGGACUUGGACUUGGGUGCUGCCUGUUACAUGGCUCGCCUCAAAUGACUUAGUGGAUCUCUCUGCAUCCGUGACAGACGUAAUAAGUUUCGUCUUGUCCCUUGCUGUCUGAGUCUGCUCCUAACCUGCCAUUGUGCACUUUUAGACUCUGACCUCAAAUCAGGUAGGACUACCCGCUGAACUUAA